GCUCCAGUGGCGCAAUCGGUCAGCGCGCGGUACUUAUAAGACAGUAACUUGCAGAGUGAUGCCGAGGUUGUGAGUUCGAGCCUCACCUGGAGCA
RNAcentral lists this transfer RNA (94 nucleotides) under Perca fluviatilis (European perch). It matches the Rfam family "tRNA". From Rfam's summary of the family: Transfer RNA (tRNA) molecules are approximately 80 nucleotides in length. Their secondary structure includes four short double-helical elements and three loops (D, anti-codon, and T loops). Further hydrogen bonds mediate the characteristic L-shaped molecular structure. tRNAs have two regions of fundamental functional importance: the anti-codon, which is responsible for specific mRNA codon recognition, and the 3' end, to which the tRNAs corresponding amino acid is attached (by aminoacyl-tRNA synthetases). tRNAs cope with the degeneracy of the genetic code in two manners: having more than one tRNA (with a specific anti-codon) for a particular amino acid; and 'wobble' base-pairing, i.e. permitting non-standard base-pairing at the 3rd anti-codon position. The record is from Rfam by way of RNAcentral. Lineage: Eukaryota; Metazoa; Chordata; Actinopteri; Perciformes; Percidae. RNAcentral also lists the same sequence under 1 other name.